This 460-nucleotide ribosomal RNA is filed under the name uncultured bacterium. Its description in RNAcentral is "partial 16S ribosomal RNA". It matches the Rfam family "Bacterial small subunit ribosomal RNA", at positions 338 to 795 of the family's 1533-position model. The record is from RNAcentral.
CCUACGGGAGUCAGCAGUGAGGAAUAUUGGUCACUGGGCGGGAUCCUGAACCAGCCAAGUCGCGUGAGGGAAGACGGUCCUAUGGAUUGUAAACCUCUUUAGGCGGGGAGCAAUGCCGGGCACGCGUGCCCGGAGGAAGAGUACCCGCAGCAUAAGCAUCGGCUAACUCCGUGCCAGCAGCCGCGGUAAUACGGAGGAUGCGAGCGUUAUCCGGAUUUAUUGGGUUGAAAGGGUGCGUAGGCGGAUUUUUAAGUCAGCGGUAAAAUGUCCGGGCUCAAACCGGGCCGGCCGUUGAAACUGGGGAUGUUGAGUGGGCGAGAAGUAUGUGGAAUGCGUGGUGUAGCGGUGAAAUGCAUAGAUAUCACGCAGAACUCCGAUUGCGAAGGCAGCAUACCGGCGCCCGACUGACGCUGAGGCACGAAAGCGUGGGGAUCGAACAGGAUUAGAUACCCGUGUAGUC